This 1851-nucleotide ribosomal RNA is filed under the name Klebsiella pneumoniae. RNAcentral describes it as "partial 23S ribosomal RNA". It matches the Rfam family "Bacterial large subunit ribosomal RNA", at positions 1074 to 2925 of the family's 2925-position model. The record is from RNAcentral. Lineage: Bacteria; Pseudomonadati; Pseudomonadota; Gammaproteobacteria; Enterobacterales; Enterobacteriaceae.
UGUGGGGAAGGCACAGACAGCCGGAUGUUGGCAGAAGCAGCCAUCAUUUAAAAGAAAGCGUAAUAGCUCACUGGUCGAGUCGGCCUGCGCGGAAGAUGUAACAGGGCUAAACCAUGCACCGAAGCUGCGGCAGCGACACUAUGUGUUGUUGGGUAGGGGAGCGUUCUGUAAGCCUGCGAAGGUGUGCUGUGAGCAUGCUGGAGGUAUCAGAAGUGCGAAUGCUGACAUAAGUAACGAUAAAGCGGGUGAAAAGCCCGCUCGCCGGAAGACCAAGGGUUCCUGUCCAACGUUAAUCGGGGCAGGGUGAGUCGACCUAAGGCGAGGCCGAAAGGCGUAGUCGAUGGGAAACAGGUUAAUAUUCCUGUACUUGGUGUUACUGCGAAGGGGGACGGAGCUAUGUUAGCCGGGCGACGGUUGUCCCGGUUUAAGCAUGUAGGCUGGUUGUCCAGCAAAUCCGGAUAAUCAAGGCUGAGGUGUGAUGACGAGGCACUACGGUGCUGAAGUAACAAAUGCCCUGCUUCCGGAAAGCCUCUAAGCAUCAGGUAACAUCAAAUCGUACCCCAAACCGACACAGGUGGUCAGGUAGAGAAUACCAAGGCGCUUGAGAGAACUCGGGUGAAGGAACUAGGCAAAAUGGUGCCGUAACUUCGGGAGAAGGCACGCUGGUGUGUAGGUGAAGCCCCUGCGGGUGGAGCUGAGACCAGUCGAAGAUACCAGCUGGCUGCAACUGUUUAUUAAAAACACAGCACUGUGCAAACACGAAAGUGGACGUAUACGGUGUGACGCCUGCCCGGUGCCGGAAGGUUAAUUGAUGGGGUUAUCCGUAAGGAGAAGCUCUUGAUCGAAGCCCGGUAAACGGCGGCCGUAACUAUAACGGUCCUAAGGUAGCGAAAUUCCUUGUCGGGUAAGUUCCGACCUGCACGAAUGGCGUAAUGAUGGCGGGCUGUCUCCACCCGAGACUCAGUGAAAUUGAACUCGCUGUGAAGAUGCAGUGUACCCGCGGCAAGACGGAAAGACCCCGUGAACCUUUACUAUAGCUUGACACUGAACAUUGAGCCUUGAUGUGUAGGAUAGGUGGGAGGCUUUGAAGCGUGGACGCCAGUCUGCGUGGAGCCAACCUUGAAAUACCACCCUUUAAUGUUUGAUGUUCUAACGUUGGCCCCUUACCGGGGUUGCGGACAGUGUCUGGUGGGUAGUUUGACUGGGGCGGUCUCCUCCCAAAGCGUAACGGAGGAGCACGAAGGUUAGCUAAUCUGGUCGGACAUCAGGAGGUUAGUGCAAUGGCAUAAGCUAGCUUGACUGCGAGCGUGACGGCGCGAGCAGGUGCAGCAGGUCAUAGUGAUCCGGUGGUUCUGAAUGGAAGGGCCAUCGCUCAACGGAUAAAGGUACUCCGGGGAUAACAGGCUGAUACCGCCCAAGAGUUCAUAUCGACGGCGGUGUUUGGCACCUCGAUGUCGGCUCAUCACAUCCGGGGCUGAAGUAGGUCCCAAGGGUAUGGCUGUUCGCCAUUUAAAGUGGUACGCGAGCUGGGUUUAGAACGUCGUGAGACAGUUCGGUCCCUAUCUGCCGUGGGCGCUGGAGAAUUGAGGGGGCUGCUCCUAGUACGAGAGGACCGGAGUGGACGCAUCACUGGUGUUCGGGUUGUCAUGCCAAUGGCACUGCCCGGUAGCUAAAUGCGGAAGAGAUAAGUGCUGAAAGCAUCUAAGCACGAAACUUGCCCCGAGAUGAGUUCUCCCUGAGACUUUAAGUCUCCUGAAGGAACGUUGAAGACGACGACGUUGAUAGGCCGGGUGUGUAAGCGCAGCGAUGCGUUGAGCUAACCGGUACUAAUGAACCGUGAGGCUUAACCUU